Molecule: long non-coding RNA, 598 nt
Organism: Vicia villosa (hairy vetch)
Lineage: Eukaryota; Viridiplantae; Streptophyta; Magnoliopsida; Fabales; Fabaceae
Exons: 3
Source: RefSeq, a predicted model, not a curated record
GACAAAAGGAUAGCAGCUUUUGCUGAAGAUAAGUUCCGAAGAGAUGAUAUUGAUGUGAAAACAUGAUCCAUGGUUGUGAAGGUAUCUGACAGAGAAGUUUCCACUAAAGAAAUGAAAACUGGAGAAAUGACUUCCAUUCCAUAUGGAAUGGUUGUCUGCUCAACUGGUAUUGGCACUCACCCAUUCAUAAAAGAUUUUAUGACAUAAAUUGGUCAGAUUAAUAGACGUGCCAUAGAUAUUGAUGAAUGGUUGAGAGUUGAGGGAACCAACAAUGUGUAUGCGCUUGGUGAUUGUGGUACAAUAAACCAGCGAAAAGUCAUGAAUUUCAGGAAGAUAUUGUAGCAAUAUUUAAGAAGUCUGAUGCAUACAACUCAGGAACAAUUACGCUCAAAUAAUUUCAGGCGGUAAUGGAUGACAUCUUUGUAAGAUACCCUCAGGUGGAGCUAUUCCUAAAGAAUAAACAAAUGUGUGGCAUUGAUGACCUUUUGGAAGAAUGCAAAGGAGAUGUUGAAAAAUAAUCUAUUGAAAUUACUUUCGAAGAACUCAAACUGAAAUUUUCAAUGUGAACUCGCAGAUGAAAUUUCUUCCUGCUAUAACU